GACGAACGCUGGCGGCGUGCUUAACACAUGCAAGUCGAACGAAGAGCGAUGGACGCUUGCUUCUCUCAAUCUUAGUGGCGAACGUGUGAGUAACGCGUAAUCAACCUGCCCUUCAGAGGGGGACAACAGUUGGAAACGACUGCUAAUACCUCAUACGAUCUAACCUCGGCAUCGAGGAAAGAUGAAAGGUGGCCUCUAUGUAUAAGCUAUCACUGAAGGAGGGGAUUGCGUCUGAUUAGCUAGUUGGAGGGGUAACGGCCCACCAAGGCGAUGAUCAGUAGCCGGUCUGAGAGGAUGAACGGCCACAUUGGGACUGAGACACGGCCCAGACUCCUACGGGAGGCAGCAGUGGGGAAUCUUCCGCAAUGGACGAAAGUCUGACGGAGCAACGCCGCGUGAGUGAUGACGGCCUUCGGGUUGUAAAGCUCUGUUAAUCGGGACGAAAGGCCUUCUUGCGAAUAGUGAGAAGGAUUGACGGUACCGGAAUAGAAAGCCACGGCUAACUACGUG
This 510-nucleotide ribosomal RNA is filed under the name uncultured bacterium. RNAcentral describes it as "partial 16S ribosomal RNA". It matches the Rfam family "Bacterial small subunit ribosomal RNA", at positions 28 to 507 of the family's 1533-position model. The record is from RNAcentral.